RNAcentral lists this ribosomal RNA (443 nucleotides) under uncultured bacterium. RNAcentral describes it as "partial 16S ribosomal RNA". It matches the Rfam family "Bacterial small subunit ribosomal RNA", at positions 338 to 795 of the family's 1533-position model. The record is from RNAcentral.
CCUACGGGUGGCAGCAGUGGGGAAUAUUGGGCAAUGGGCGCAAGCCUGACCCAGCAACGCCGCGUGAAGGAAGAAGGCUUUCGGGUUGUAAACUUCUUUUCUCAGGGACGAAACAAGUGACGGUACCUGAGGAAUAAGCCACGGCUAACUACGUGCCAGCAGCCGGGGUAAUACGUAGGUGGAAAGCUUUAUUCGGAUUUACUGGGUGUAAAGGGCGUGUAGGCGGUACCGCAAGUCAGAUGUGAAAACCACGGGCUCAACCUGUGGCCUGCAUUUGAAACUGUAGUUCUUGAGUACUGGAGAGGCAGAUGGAAUUCCUAGUGUAGCGGUGAAAUGCGUAGAUAUUAGGAGGAACACCAGUGGCGAAGGCGGUGUGCUGGACAGCAACUGACGCUGAGGCGCGAAAGCGUGGGGAGCAAACAGGAUUAGAUACCCGAGUAGUC